CAAAAAAUUCCAUAUAGUAUAUAAGAAUUUUUUAGUUUGUAAAUUCUAAUUUUAUUACUUAGUGAAUGUUGUUAAGGGUUAUCACAUUUUAUAGAAUUAAACGUUUACCACACAUUUAUGAUUUAAUUAAACAAGUAUUCUUUAAGAAAAGAUUUACUUUUGUAGGUAUUAUAAUAAUGAUAGACCUAAAAGGAGACUGGAGGAAUAGGUGUGAGGGGCACAACUGUAUUUGGCCAUAAAAGUUCCAAAACCCCAAAAGAGUCACAAAGCACAGUAAGAGAAAGAUUGAGCAUUAAUCUAUACUAUUCCUUCCCUGCUUGAUAGCAAGAACUUUAAGCCUCCACAUGAUGAUCCAUCUUUACUUUUAGUUAUCUUGUUAACAGAUCAGAAGUGCUAUUUAUUCAUUAUAUGCGAUUCAUUAAUUAUUAAAAAGGUAAAAGAUUGAGAGGAUUAGGCAACAUAAAAAAAUAUUCGUAUGUUAUGAAAUGAGUUUAAUUUAGACAAAUGUAACUUAAAAUUAUAUGUUUUAUUAUAGCUGAUAGGUAUCAUAUAUAUAUUUUAUGAUGUAAAUAUUCAAAUUAAAAAAAAAUUAUUAAUAAUAAAUUUUUAUAUCUGUAUCCGUAAAUUUUUGCAUCAUAGAAAAAUUCUGUAUAUGUGUAUAAUAAAAACAAUAACAAAGCAGCAAAUAAAUUAUUAUAGGGAUGAAGAAAUAGGAGUUGCACCACAGCAGAGCUUAUUAUUAUUUGCAAGCUAGCUAGGUGGUUCAUCAAUGAAUUUUACAAUGGCCACCAGAACCAGAAUUGCCGCCUAUGUAAGUGCAAGAGAAGUGGUUGGAAGGUGGGACAGGACCCCUUACAAGUGGAAAUUUCUUCCUGCUUUUAUCCGCGACUUCAACCAUUGUUUUGAGUCUCUCCGCUUCCAACGGCCUGCAAGCUAAGUUAGGUUUCAACCUCGUGAGAAUCAGCAACAUAAAGACUAUCACUUUGCAAAAGUUCUCAACACAAUCGCAAUGUCAACGCCACCGUUGUCAUCCUCCAAGGAACUCCUGUCGCGGCAACAGGGUUCGGGUUUUUGUCAAUCAAAAUGGGAUAGUCACUCAAGUCCAUCAGAUUGGCCAGAUACAGAUCUAGCUAUUUUAUAUGAAAAUUAAACACUAUUUAUCAUUGUUAAUAAAUGAUUAAUGAAUUUAUUUCUAAAAUAAUAGUUUAAAUGCUUAUUAUUUAAAAAAAAUAUUUUUUAUAAUUUUAAAUAAAAAAUAAUAAAAUUAAAUAUCUUAAUUAAAAUUAUAUAACAUAGCAAGCAUCAACAAUGAUAAUACAUAGUAAAUUAUUCAUCUAAAUAUGAACUUCAUUAUAUAUGUGGUGGGAAAAUUAAUUAUAUAUUUGUAUAAUUUCCACACUAAAAUAUUUUUACUCUUAAAUAAAAUGCCUUCUGUUUCUGAAAAAAUAAAAUAAAUGUUUCAACUGCUUGUGGCUCACAAAUAAAAGCCCAUCCAAAGCUUUAAUUUUAUGCCUAGUGGGUUCAACACAUGUAUAAUUUAAAGUUGUGAAUCCAAAACAUUGAAAAAUUGUUCUAAAUGACAAAAAAAUAAAAAAAUAAAAAAUUCUAGGGAUAAUGCAUAUGAGAAGCCAAGCCCUGUAAGAGGGACACGCACACAUAAGUAUAUCACACUCUGAUGACACGUAUAUAGGAGAGAGGCUGACUAUGCUGCUUUGAACUCCACCGCCGCACCGCAUGCACAUGAUAUAAAUCACCCGCCAAAAGUGUCUACAAACUACAAACGGAGAACCAACUCAAUUUUAUUUCUAUUCGCACCCUGAAUUUGCACAUUUAAUUUUGGAGAGAGACAAAUUACUAGAAAGAAUCAGAGAAAGAUGGCAACGACCCAAUGUGCAGCUGGAAAGAAGUCUUGGCCAGAGGUGGUAGGAUUAAGUGGAGAGGUAGCAAAGGCAAAGAUAGAGAAAGAGAAUCCCACCGUGACAGCUGAGAUCAAAAUGCAUGGGACUUCUACCUCCGACGACUACAUGAGGGCCGAUAGAGUUCGGGUUUGGGUCGAUCUUAAAGGGGUCGUCAAAGAUGUCCCUCAAGUCGGUUGAGACUAUUGAGGUUGAUAAUCAAAUAUUAUCACCCAAUUGAUAUUUGUAUACUUAAUCGUGUACUACUCUAAUAAUAGCGUUUCUGGUUGGGUUUCUAGUAAGUGUCGGUGUAAAUUGGGCUUCAUGAGUUUUACAUCUUUGGGCCUUUUUGUUUUUUGGGCUCUAGAAUAUGACACCAUAGGCAUUAGGCCCAAUCAAUAAAUGAGGUCCAUCAUGCACCUAACCUCUAUGUUGUAUUUUGCAUUUUUAACUAAUAAUAAGAAAAUAGAUUUAUCAUA
Molecule: long non-coding RNA, 2374 nt
Organism: Ziziphus jujuba (common jujube)
Lineage: Eukaryota; Viridiplantae; Streptophyta; Magnoliopsida; Rosales; Rhamnaceae
Exons: 2
Source: RefSeq, a predicted model, not a curated record